GAAUGCUAAUUAAAUUUUACUCCUCCUUCUUCUUUGGGCAUGACAAUGGGUAGCAAACCAGAAACGCUAAUCCUCACCACUUCUUUUCUCUUGUGCGCCUAGAACGGCAUGACCAAGCUAAAUUCUUUUCUGGUCAGCCAUUAAGUUUAAUUACCAACAAGCUUAAACAUCAUCUCCCUUGUUUCCCUUGAGCGCUGGGCAGAGGACGGACCAUAUUUGAAGUGGGUGCCUAAUUUCCAAACCAACAAGUCACGCCAUCCGUUCUUUCUUGCGCAUUGAAAGGGAGAACUAAACUGGUUAAUACCUUCUAGAUUCAGGCAGAAAACAUGGCCCUCAACCUCCCCCAUUUUUGAGCGAGAACUACAUGUACACAAAUUAAUUUGACCCCUUAAGGACACAGACCAGAAAUACAUGUACUUCUUCUGACCAAGAAAACAGCGCACAACCAUUCCAUCCCUUCAUCUUGUGCGAAUGGCAAAUCAAGGAAAAGGACACAAAUUAAUUUGACCGCUUGUCCUUCCCCAUGGUUCAGAGUCACAAGCCUUUUCCCUCACUUCCUCCUUGUUCAGCUGAGAGCAACUCCCUAGAAGGUGAGGUAAUUUCUGGCAGCGCUUUGCUCCUCACGAAUUUGAUCAGUCCCACUUGAGUUCUUUCUCUUUGCAUGUGUAUAACUCUGCUUUGAUUGGAUCGUCUUUUCCAUGACAAGCGACUGAAACCAACUUCUUGGAGUUUUGGAAGAGGGAGGUGGCUGCUCCGUGACUGAAUGGCUAGCCUUGAAUACUUGCUUGAAGGUGCACAUAACCUUUGAGUGUGGACUGAGUUUGCUGCUGUUUGAUUUAUAUUUGGGCACGCCAAGAGGACGAAAGAGCAUAUGAGGACAUGGAUUAUUUGGAUAUUUACUAUUAAUUGCUGUUGUUUGGACUUGAUGUAAUUUUGUCUGUUGGAUGAUGUUGGAUGACUGUACUAUUGUUGUGUGGAGAACCUUAGACUAUUGUUGGAACCAUGAUUUUAUUACUGUUGUGAGACUUUUAUGAUUAUCUAUUACUU
Gastrolobium bilobum is the source of this 1047-nucleotide long non-coding RNA. RefSeq lists it as uncharacterized. Lineage: Eukaryota; Viridiplantae; Streptophyta; Magnoliopsida; Fabales; Fabaceae. The record is from RefSeq and is a predicted model, not a curated record. The transcript is spliced from 3 exons.